Molecule: ribosomal RNA, 46 nt
Filed under: Fusarium oxysporum
Lineage: Eukaryota; Fungi; Ascomycota; Sordariomycetes; Hypocreales; Nectriaceae
Description: partial 28S ribosomal RNA
Source: RNAcentral
ACCUCGGAUCAGGUAGGAAUACCCGCUGAACUUAAGCAUAUCAAAG